This 646-nucleotide ribosomal RNA is filed under the name Parmotrema sp. 1 KB-2019. RNAcentral's name for it is "partial 28S ribosomal RNA". It matches the Rfam family "Eukaryotic large subunit ribosomal RNA", at positions 71 to 740 of the family's 3401-position model. The record is from RNAcentral. Lineage: Eukaryota; Fungi; Ascomycota; Lecanoromycetes; Lecanorales; Parmeliaceae.
GGCAUUGCCUUAGUAACGGCGUGAAGCGGCAACAGAAAUUUGAAAUCUGGCUCCCGGGGUCCGAGUUGUAAUUUGUAGAGAGUGCGGGGGAGACUGCGGUCUAAGUCCAUUGGAACAUGGUGUCAUAGAGGGUGAGAAUCCCGUAUGUGACCGCGGCUCGAACCCAUGUGAAGCCUCUUCGACGAGUCGAGUUGUUUGGGAAUGCAGCUCAAAAUGGGUGGUAAAUUUCAUCUAAAGCUAAAUACUGGCUGGAGACCGAUAGCGCACAAGUAGAGUGAUCGAAAGAUGAAAAGCACUUUGGAAAGAGAGUUAAACAGUACGUGAAAUUGUUGAAAGGGAAGCGCUUGCAACCAGACCUGCCCGUAGGCGAUCAGCCGCUGUUCUCAGCGGUGCACUCGCUCUGCGAUCAGGCCAGCAUCGGUUUCGGCGGUCGGAUAAAGGCCUUGGGAAUGUAGCUCUCUUUCGGGGGAGUUUUAUAGCCCUCGGUGCAAUGCGGCCAGCCGGGACCGAGGACCGCGCUUCGGCUAGGAUGCUGGCGUAAUGGUUGUCAGCGACCCGUCUUGAAACACGGACCAAGGAGUCUAACAUCUAUGCGAGUGUUUGGGUGUCAAACCCAUGCGCGGAAUGAAAGUGAACGGAGGUUGAG